RNAcentral lists this ribosomal RNA (962 nucleotides) under Panesthia lata. Its description in RNAcentral is "SSU rRNA". It matches the Rfam family "Eukaryotic small subunit ribosomal RNA", at positions 436 to 1302 of the family's 1831-position model. The record is from RNAcentral. Lineage: Eukaryota; Metazoa; Arthropoda; Insecta; Blattodea; Blaberidae.
GCAAAUUACCCACUCCCGGCACGGGGAGGUAGUGACNAAAAAUAACNAUACGGGACUCAUCCGAGGCCCCGUAAUCGGAAUGAGCACACUUUAAAUCCUUUAACNAGUAUCCAUUGGAGGGCAAGUCUGGUGCCAGCAGCCGCGGUAAUUCCAGCUCCAAUAGCGUAUAUUAAAGUUGUUGCGGUUAAAAAGCUCGUAGUCGGACUUGUGUCACACGCUGCCGGUUCACCGCCCGUCGGUGUUUAACUGGCAUGCACGUGCUGACGUCCUGCCGGUGGCCCGAGCCGGNCCGGGAUCUCUGGGUGCGGGAUUCCCUCCGGGGGCUCGCCUCGAGCCCGGUUCUUGGGGAGGGCCUACUCAUACCCCUCGCGGUGCUCUUAACCGAGUGUCUCGAUGGGCCGGCACGUUUACUUUGAACAAAUUAGAGUGCUUAAAGCAGGCAGCAUCCGCCUGAAUACUGAGUGCAUGGAAUAAUGGAAUAGGACCUCGGUUCUAUUUUGUUGGUUUUCGGAAUCCCCGAGGUAAUGAUCAAUAGGGACAGACGGGGGCAUUCGUAUUGCGACGUUAGAGGUGAAAUUCUUGGAUCGUCGCAAGACGGACCGAAGCGAAAGCAUUUGCCAAGAAUGUUUUCUCUGAUCAAGAACGAAAGUUAGAGGUUCGAAGGCGAUCAGAUACCGCCCUAGUUCUAACCAUAAACGAUGCCAGCCAGCAAUCCGCCGAAGUUCCUCCGAUGACUCGGCGGGCGGCUUCCGGGAAACCAAAGCUUUUGGGUUCCGGGGGAAGUAUGGUUGCAAAGCUGAAACUUAAAGGAAUUGACGGAAGGGCACCACCAGGAGUGGAGCCUGCGGCUUAAUUUGACUCAACACGGGAAACCUCACCAGGCCCGGACACCGGGAGGAUUGACAGAUUGAGAGCUCUUUCUUGAUUCGGUGGGUGGUGGUGCAUGGCCGUUCUUAGUUGGU